This 245-nucleotide long non-coding RNA is filed under the name Elaeis guineensis (African oil palm). RNAcentral's name for it is "long non-coding RNA (EGUI_LNC063486)". Lineage: Eukaryota; Viridiplantae; Streptophyta; Magnoliopsida; Arecales; Arecaceae. The record is from RNAcentral.
GAUUUUUGCACCAACAGGAUUGACGCUAGAGGAAGGGCGCGUGCCUUCGCAGUACCCUUGUUCUUAAAGGAGCGCUCAACGGAACCGCCUCUGGUCAUCUUCUCUGACAUCUGCUCCUCCUUCUCCCCACUGGAUCCUCGCCCGAUGACUUCUCGCGAAGCAUCCGCAUGGCAACCCACGACCUCCGGAGCCUGAGAUAGCCAGAUCUCAGGCUCCGGUCUCGCCUCUGGUUUCCCGGGCCCCAC